ACAAAGUCGGAUUUUAACUAAAAAGAAAAUGGGAUUUGAACGUUAUUCCCUUUAUAAAUCCCAAUGGAAAUAAUCUUACCCGUCCAUAAGAUGGAGGAUUCGUUGUCGAUCACCAACCCCGUCAUUAGAAUCAUUUUUAAUCUCUGUUCUCUCAGUCGAACGAAAAACUGUUGAAUCAAAAAAUAAGAAGAGAAAAAGAAGAAGAAGAAGA
This 211-nucleotide unclassified non-coding RNA is filed under the name Hevea brasiliensis (rubber tree). Lineage: Eukaryota; Viridiplantae; Streptophyta; Magnoliopsida; Malpighiales; Euphorbiaceae. The record is from RNAcentral.